Molecule: transfer RNA, 72 nt
Organism: Cavia porcellus (domestic guinea pig)
Lineage: Eukaryota; Metazoa; Chordata; Mammalia; Rodentia; Caviidae
Rfam family: tRNA
About the family: Transfer RNA (tRNA) molecules are approximately 80 nucleotides in length. Their secondary structure includes four short double-helical elements and three loops (D, anti-codon, and T loops).
Source: Rfam
AGGGAUUUAGCUCAGUGGUACAGUGCCUGUCUGGCAAGCAUGAAGUCCUGAGUUUCAUUCCCAGCAGCCCUC